Molecule: long non-coding RNA, 1139 nt
Organism: Hibiscus syriacus
Lineage: Eukaryota; Viridiplantae; Streptophyta; Magnoliopsida; Malvales; Malvaceae
Exons: 7
Source: RefSeq, a predicted model, not a curated record
CCGUUUUGCUCUCUUCCCUCUAUUCUUUUCUUCUUCUUCCCACAACCGAGAGCCUCAAAGGCUAACCACAUCGCCACUCGCACCAUCGGCCACCAUGACCGACGCUUGACCACCGCCCCAAUGGCCUCUACACCGUUUCUCUCCUCUCUACUACGGUGAAGAUCCAAACACAACAAAGGUUUCCCGAGCAACCUUCAAUGGUUCGGUCUCAAACCUGGUGGCUCAAAUCGCAGGAUCCAGCUGUGAGAGGGAAGGCAUCUGGCCAGUCUAAAUUUGGAGGCCUAUUUUCAAAGUCCACAUUCUGUUCACAGAGCAAAUGCUGGAGAAAGUGAGAAUUUUGCGGGAAGCUUUUUCAGAGGCAUCUUUGCAUGCUAGUUCAGGCAAACCAUCAGUUAUUUUCAUUGAUGAAAUAGAUGCUCUCUGCCCUAGUCGUGGUUCAAGGCUGGAAUGAAUGAUUUUUCCUUCUUUUGGUAAUUGUAUUUGGAUGUGGUUGAACAACAAGUUCUUUACCACAAGUUGUUGUGGUUGCAUCAAUUAAUAGUCAUAGGUAUUUUCUCCAUCAAGAGUGGAUGCAAUCGACCCAGCUCUAAGAAGGUCAGGGCGUUUUGAUGAUGAAGUUGAAGUGACCACACCUAAUGAAGAAGAAGGGUUUCAAAUUCUCAAGCUUUAUACGAGGAAGGUUCCUUUGGAUCCCAGUGUUGACUUACAACUUACAAGCUGUAGCUGUUGAGUGGCCUAUCAAUGGGGAGACAAUCUCGAAGAAGGUGUCUACUGCUGCUGACUUCAUUUGGUCUGAUUCUCCUCUUGAAAUCCUUGGUUCGGUUGCUACCAUAACCUUUGAGGAUCCAGCUUCAUUGCCUAUUAAGGAUCACAGUUCUACCUCAGAAGAGGUCAAAGCUCUUUGUGAUGAUUUGUGUGUUCUACAAAAGCAGGAUUUCAAGUAUCUUUUGAAGUAAGAAACAUAAUUGUUUUCAGUUUUUCCCUUUUGAGAUUUUUAAGUCUAAACAAUUUGUGAUAAUAAGAAAAUAUGUGAGUAAAGCUAUAAUCAGAGCACUAGGUACAUACUACUGUGAGUGGGAACUUAAUUUGACAUGUUGCAAUCUUUUGUAAGUAAACUUGACAUGUUGCUGCCAUUUGUA